UCCUCGGUAGUGCAAUCGGUUAGCAUAACAGAUCGGAUAUCUGUAGAUGCAGGUUCGAGUCUCGCCUAAGGUU
RNAcentral lists this transfer RNA (73 nucleotides) under Dictyocaulus viviparus (bovine lungworm). It matches the Rfam family "tRNA". Rfam says of the family: Transfer RNA (tRNA) molecules are approximately 80 nucleotides in length. Lineage: Eukaryota; Metazoa; Nematoda; Chromadorea; Rhabditida; Metastrongylidae. The record is from Rfam by way of RNAcentral.